RNAcentral lists this ribosomal RNA (1347 nucleotides) under uncultured bacterium. RNAcentral's name for it is "bacterial SSU rRNA". It matches the Rfam family "Bacterial small subunit ribosomal RNA", at positions 28 to 1381 of the family's 1533-position model. The record is from RNAcentral.
GACGAACGCUGGCGGCGUGCUUAACACAUGCAAGUCGAGCGAUGAAGCCUAGCUUGCUAGGUGGAUUAGUGGCGAACGGGUGAGUAAUACGUGAGUAACCUACCUUUAACUCUGGGAUAAGCCUGGGAAACUGGGUCUAAUACCGGAUACGACCAAUCUCCGCAUGGGGUGUUGGUGGAAAGCGUUAUGUAGUGGUUAUAGAUGGGCUCACGGCCUAUCAGCUUGUUGGUGAGGUAACGGCUCACCAAGGCGACGACGGGUAGCCGGCCUGAGAGGGUGACCGGCCACACUGGGACUGAGACACGGCCCAGACUCCUACGGGAGGCAGCAGUGGGGAAUAUUGCACAAUGGGCGCAAGCCUGAUGCAGCGACGCCGCGUGAGGGAUGACGGCCUUCGGGUUGUAAACCUCUGUUAGCAGGGAAGAAGAGAGAUUGACGGUACCUGCAGAGAAAGCGCCGGCUAACUACGUGCCAGCAGCCGCGGUAAUACGUAGGGCGCGAGCGUUGUCCGGAAUUAUUGGGCGUAAAGAGCUUGUAGGCGGUUUGUCGCGUCUGCUGUGAAGGCCGGAGCUUAACUUCGUGUAUUGCAGUGGGUACGGGCAGACUAGAGUGCAGUAGGGGAGACUGGAAUUCCUGGUGUAGCGGUGGAAUGCGCAGAUAUCAGGAGGAACACCGAUGGCGAAGGCAGGUCUCUGGGCUGUAACUGACGCUGAGAAGCGAAAGCAUGGGGAGCGAACAGGAUUAGAUACCCUGGUAGUCCAUGCCGUAAACGUUGGGCACUAGGUGUGGGGAACAUUCCACGUUUUCCGCGCCGUAGCUAACGCAUUAAGUGCCCCGCCUGGGGAGUACGGCCGCAAGGCUAAAACUCAAAGAAAUUGACGGGGGCCCGCACAAGCGGCGGAGCAUGCGGAUUAAUUCGAUGCAACGCGAAGAACCUUACCAAGGCUUGACAUAUACUGGACCGCAUCAGAGAUGGUGUUUCCCUUCGGGGCUGGUAUACAGGUGGUGCAUGGUUGUCGUCAGCUCGUGUCGUGAGAUGUUGGGUUAAGUCCCGCAACGAGCGCAACCCUCGUUCUAUGUUGCCAGCACGUUAUGGUGGGGACUCAUAGGAGACUGCCGGGGUCAACUCGGAGGAAGGUGGGGAUGACGUCAAAUCAUCAUGCCCCUUAUGUCUUGGGCUUCACGCAUGCUACAAUGGCCGGUACAGAGGGUUGCGAUACUGUGAGGUGGAGCUAAUCCCUAAAAGCCGGUCUCAGUUCGGAUUGGGGUCUGCAACUCGACCCCAUGAAGUCGGAGUCGCUAGUAAUCGCAGAUCAGCAACGCUGCGGUGAAUACGUUCCCGGGCCU